Molecule: long non-coding RNA, 869 nt
Organism: Protopterus annectens (West African lungfish)
Lineage: Eukaryota; Metazoa; Chordata; Ceratodontiformes; Protopteridae
Exons: 2
Source: RefSeq, a predicted model, not a curated record
GUUUAGUUUGUUGAGACUAAUUCAGAGUGGGAGUGUGGUCAGUGCUAUAAAACAUAGGAAUUUGUUUUGGGUUUUAUUUAAACGGUGACAGUGUUUGUUUAGAGGAUAAUUUGAAAAUGGCGUGAUGUGACAAUCUGUUAAAAUAGGUAACGUGAGUGAGACCAUCUUAUUGCAGAAACCUCACGUGGAAGGCAGUGCAUCAGAAUAUUUUACAGGAUACAAUCUGCUAAAAGCUUUGAAACCUACAUAGAAGAAAUGGGUAUUAACACACAUGCAGCUGAAGCAUCCCUGCAACUUUGUUAAAAGUGGAAUUUGAAGCAAUCCUUUCAGAAAUGCACUCUGUACAGUUAAUGCAUACUCUUGGAUGUGUCUGACUUGCAUUUUGAGCCCGUUUGAAGGAACAUUAUUAAGGAAUUGAUUUAUGUCCUUUCAGUUUUGGAUAUUUUUUUAAACCCUGACAUAGAACAUUGACGAACUGUGUCUGAUCACUGGUUUUAGAAUUUUCUAAAGAACAAAAUGAAGUACAGGUGACUUGACAGCUGUACAUAAGCAGGAGGGAACAGAUGGUCUUACCUGCUUUUUGCAUUUUUACUCAAAGUAGGAUAGUCUUUGGUCUAUUCCAUGAAAGUACUGUAAAUUGUCUUGGUCUUAAAAAAAAAUUACAUUAGUAUUGAUGUUUUUUGAGGAAUUGACCUUUCUGGAGCUUUCCUUUAAAGUUAUAAACUGUAUGUCGCAUGUGUCUUCUGAAGAUGAAGGGAUCUGUUAAAGAGCAGCAGAAACGUCCACAGAUUAUUCACAGUGGUCACUUCAUGGUUUCUGAACCACAUACAGACCCAGAUCCUACACUGACUGGACUUGAGGUACAAGAG